Molecule: ribosomal RNA, 478 nt
Filed under: uncultured bacterium
Lineage: Bacteria
Description: partial 16S ribosomal RNA
Rfam family: Bacterial small subunit ribosomal RNA
Source: RNAcentral
AUUGAACGCUGGCGGCAUGCUUUACACAUGCAAGUCGAACGGCAGCGCGGGCUUCGGCCUGGCGGCGAGUGGCGAACGGGUGAGUAAUGCAUCGGAACGUGCUCAGUCGUGGGGGAUAGCCCGGCGAAAGACGGAUUAAUACCCCAAACGACCUGAGGGUGAUAGCGGGGGAUCGAAAAGCCUGGCGCUAUUGGAGCGGCCCGUGUAGGAUUAGCUAGUUGGUGGGGUAACGGCUUACCAAGGCAAUGAUCCGUAGGGGGCCUGAGAGGGCGAUCCCCCACACUGGUACUGAGACACGGAGCAGACUCCUACGGGCGGCAGCAGGGAGGAAUAGUGGACAAGGGGUUAGCGCCUGAUCCAGCAAGCCCGAGUGAAGGACGACGGCCCUAUGGGGUGGAAACUUCUUUUGUAUAGGGAUAAACCUACUCUCGUGAGAGUAGCUGAAGGUACUAGAAGAAUAAGCACCGGCUAACUCCGU